AAUCAACGCUGGCGGCGUGCCUAACACAUGCAAGUCGAACGCGAAAGUCCCGCAAGGGAUCAGUAGAGUGGCAAACGGGUGAGUAACACGUGGGUGACCUGCCCUCGAGCGGGGGAUAACGUCCCGAAAGGGACGCUAAUACCGCAUGACAUCCCGCCUUUGAACAGGUGGAGAUCAAAGCUGGGGAUCGCAAGACCUAGCACUCGAAGAGGGGCCCGCGCCUGAUAGCUAGUUGGUGAGGUAACGGCUCACCAAGGCGACGAUCAGUAUCCGGCCUGAGAGGGCGGACGGACACACUGGGACUGAGACACGGCCCAGACUCCUACGGGAGGCAGCAGUGGGGAAUUGUUCGCAAUGGGCGCAAGCCUGACGACGCAACGCCGCGUGGAGGAUGAAGACCUC
RNAcentral lists this ribosomal RNA (402 nucleotides) under uncultured bacterium. Its description in RNAcentral is "bacterial SSU rRNA". It matches the Rfam family "Bacterial small subunit ribosomal RNA", at positions 29 to 418 of the family's 1533-position model. The record is from RNAcentral.